UCCUCGUUAAUAUAGUGGUGAGUAUCCCUACUUGCCAUGUGGGAGACGGAGGUUCAAUUCCCUGAUGGGGAG
Molecule: transfer RNA, 72 nt
Filed under: Rattus norvegicus (Norway rat)
Lineage: Eukaryota; Metazoa; Chordata; Mammalia; Rodentia; Muridae
Rfam family: tRNA
About the family: Transfer RNA (tRNA) molecules are approximately 80 nucleotides in length. Their secondary structure includes four short double-helical elements and three loops (D, anti-codon, and T loops). Further hydrogen bonds mediate the characteristic L-shaped molecular structure. tRNAs have two regions of fundamental functional importance: the anti-codon, which is responsible for specific mRNA codon recognition, and the 3' end, to which the tRNAs corresponding amino acid is attached (by aminoacyl-tRNA synthetases). tRNAs cope with the degeneracy of the genetic code in two manners: having more than one tRNA (with a specific anti-codon) for a particular amino acid; and 'wobble' base-pairing, i.e. permitting non-standard base-pairing at the 3rd anti-codon position.
Source: Rfam by way of RNAcentral